GAAUUUUAUAUAGAUUUGGGUUAUUGGUUGAUUAUAAGUUAGACUUAGGUUUAUAUUUGGUUGGGAGGAUGUCUAAAUUUAACAAACUUUAGUUGUAUAAAUACAUUUAUGUAUGGGGUUAAAUAUAUGAGUGAUCAUUAGAAUAUUGAAAAAUUAAUUACCUCAGGGAUAACAGCGUAAUAUUUUUAGAGAGAUCAUAUUAAUAAAAAUGAUUGC
This 216-nucleotide ribosomal RNA is filed under the name Wasmannia scrobifera. RNAcentral's name for it is "partial large subunit ribosomal RNA". Lineage: Eukaryota; Metazoa; Arthropoda; Insecta; Hymenoptera; Formicidae. The record is from RNAcentral.